Molecule: ribosomal RNA, 254 nt
Filed under: uncultured bacterium
Lineage: Bacteria
Description: partial 16S ribosomal RNA
Rfam family: Bacterial small subunit ribosomal RNA
Source: RNAcentral
UACGGAGGGGGCGAGCGUUAUUCGGAAUUAUUGGGCGUAAAAGGGCGCGUAGGCGGCUGUACAAGUCAAAGGUGAAAUCCCUCGGCUCAACUGAGGAACUGCCUUUGAAACUGUACGGCUUGAGGCCGGGAGGGGGUAGCGGAAUUCCCAAUGUAGCGGUGAAAUGCGUAGAUAUUGGGAGGAACACCAGUGGCGAAGGCGGCUACCUGGACCGGUUCUGACGCUGAGGCGCGAAAGCGUGGGUAGCAAACAGG